RNAcentral lists this unclassified non-coding RNA (485 nucleotides) under uncultured Nostocaceae cyanobacterium. RNAcentral's name for it is "partial contains 16S ribosomal RNA and 16S-23S ribosomal RNA intergenic spacer". The stretch from base 1 to 119 matches the Rfam family "Bacterial small subunit ribosomal RNA", at positions 1415 to 1533 of the family's 1533-position model. Lineage: Bacteria; Bacillati; Cyanobacteriota; Cyanophyceae; Nostocales; Nostocaceae. The record is from RNAcentral.
UCACGCCCGAAGUCGUUACCCCAACCGUAAGGGGGGGGAUGCCUAAGGUAGGACUGAUGACUGGGGUGAAGUCGUAACAAGGUAGCCGUACCGGAAGGUGUGGCUGGAUCACCUCCUUUUAGGGAGACCUAAUCCAUUUAGAAAUCGAAAACAAUGAAAAUUGUCAAUAGAAACUAAAGUGGUCUAACCUAGGUCGUUCGAGAUUGGUAGAUAUCUUUCAAAGUAUUAUUCGGCUUCGUUCAAAACCAUAUAUAAAUGGAAAAAGACAGCACCUAAUUGUCAAAGUUAGACUGCUGGAUGAAAUUCCAGCCAGAACCUUGAAAACUGCAUAAGAGAACGAGAAAAAGCAGGCAGACACAGACAUUUAGAUGGAUGUGGAAGCAAAGAAAAAUUGUGGUCAAGCUAAUAAGGGCUAAUGGUGGAUACCUAGGCACACAGAGGAUACCUAGGCACACAGAGGAUACCUAGGCACACAGAGGAAGGGC